UUAUUACAUCAUACUUUAAGGGGCUCAGCUUGACUACUACUCAUGUGGUCCAGUCUUAACUACUACGCAGAUGUCAACCAGUGUGCAGUUUGGCCUCCCUAGUAGCGUGCUUUCCAACGUUAUCCCACUCACUCGUGUGUCCGACCUACAGUAUUGAAAAAUCAUUCGAUUGUGCUGCUCAACUGUCUCACUAGUGAGAAAAAAAAGUGUGGUGGUAGUAGUAGGCUACAAGGAAAAUAUGUAAUAAAUGCUCAAACAGCUUUUCGCCGCGUUGUUUACUAGGCACGAAGUCGUAAUUCUUGUCGCCAUGGAAACGCCCACCGCUCAGCUCAUGAAUGUCAACAGGCCAUUUUCGACAGUAUGACGUCAUUCUGUAAACGAAACACUAGACGGAGCCAGAGAGCCACGGGUGAAGUACGCGUCACCUGAAAAUAAAAACCAUUCGGACGUGCUUGCACAAAACGAGUCAGUAGAAACGAAAACGAUGCUAAACGACGUCGAACGUGUUUCAGCUGCAAGCAGUAAACUCAAGCUUGACUCCAAAACAAGAACCACAAAGUCUCGCGAGAUGAGGAGGUGACGUCGCAAAUCGAUCCCGGAAAUCAUUUCACGAAUCAGCAUAAUGGCCGACGAGCAAAUGAUGAACUUCCCAGCAAACUGCCCAUUCAUCGUUGGAGGUUCAUAUCGGAAACUAUAGCCACACGCCUCGACGUUUUCGCCUUGAGGAUAUGCGUCACAUCUGACCUGAUGCAACCUCAGCUUCUCCAUCAGCCCUGUCCACAGCACUUUUAAGCAUAAGCGGAUGCAAUGAGCCCAUCCGUUUCCAGCUUCUGCUCGCCGCUGUCACUCUAAUCACAGUUACUGCUCCAACUUUACUCUCAAUAGUACGCAAACCAUGUCUGGCUCGGGUGACUUACCAGCUCUGGAAGGUCCCGGGAUGGGCGGAAUGAAGCUCCCCGUCGGCAUGACCCGCCGGGCGCUCAGCUACGACGACAACCUGGAGGCGCCGAUGUCCACGCCCCCGCACGACAUCAACAUCACCAACCUGUGGAGGCGCCCCGUCGUGCCCGAGAGGAAGUUCAACCACCUGGCGGAGGAGGAUGAAGGCGUUGCGGUUGGUCAAUCUAAGGUGUUGGACAGCGCCUCGUCCAGGUCCACGGGUGUAGUGAAGACCAAGGCUUCCUCCCUCAUCCUCAACUCUCUCAUCACCAAGCAGUCCCACGACAGCAUGUACAAGUUUGAAGAGAAGGCGGGCCUAACCGACACCAGUUACACUCCGCACAAAGGCCUGACGGCAGAGGAGACGAGACACCAUCACCGCAUGCCUGAAUCCUUCCAGAAAAUGCAGAUUCAGAGCAUGGAGGCUCGGGAAGAGCGCCAGACCUCGUCGGCCCAGUCCACACCAUCCACCACCCCGCACACGUCCCCAAAACAACAGCGCAGAACCUGGUUCAGCAGCACCAGUUCGGACGUCAGCGUGAGCUCCUCCAACAGCAGUGUGGAUCUGGUGGGAGGCGACGGAGGAGGCGGCGGCGUGCUGGAGCGCUGGGGCGUGUUUGGGCCACGGCCGCCGGUGCACAAGUCCACUUCCGAUCUGGGCACCGAUCCUAUCGUGCCAGCAGGCUUUGCGCUUCAGGCUUACCGCGGCAUCCACAAGCCCAGCGCGGCGGAGGUCAUGAAGUCGCAGGCGGCCACCCGGUUGGCCGACGGCCCCGACGCCCAGAGGGCUGCCGCCCUGCCCAGGAUGGAGAUCCCGACGGCGGAGGGGCGGCGGCAGGGCGCCCGCCCGCACAAGCUCAAGCCGCGCGACAUGAACAUCCUUACGCCCUCCGGCUUCUAGAUGCCGCAGCCCGUCCCGCGACCACUCUGACGAGGUCACACGGUCUCCCAUUUCCACCUGUCAAAAUGGCAGCUCCAGUGUACGGUGCAACCUCCGCUUCAGAACAUAAUUCAUAUUUGUUUGUAGCAUUUUCACACAGAAUGGAAUCCAAAUAGAGCAAAGUGUCCUCUUUGGAGCAGGGAGCCAGGCGAUGGCAGAGUGAUUGAUACCAGUGAGCAUCUUUCAUAGCUCCAUGUCCGCCUGCAGUGUGGCGUUGCGGUGGUCCGCAGCCGCCCUGGCCCGCUCAACCUGGCCGAUCCUGACCUCCGCCGCGCUCCGACUGCGCCUCUGCUGCUCCAGGCGGUCGCGCAGUGCUGCCACCUGCCGCUCGAGGGCGUCAUUGCAGCGCUCCAACCUGUGGUGAGUGAGUGAGGGCACCAAUAUCAAUUAUUUGCACUUGUAAUGGAUACAUGAUAGAAAAGAGCACUGAGCCCAGCCAGCAGCGACGUGUGUUUGUUUUGAACCUGUGUAUCCUGGACUGGUACUCGUACGUCUGCUGGGCCAUUUGCUGUCGAAGUUUGCCUAGGAGAGGCUGAGCAUCGUCCGGAGGAGCGGACGGUAGGAACACCUCUGAGCUCCCGGUGCUGAUGGGGCUGAGGAUGGACCCGGAUGUCGGGGUGUUCAGGCGUCUUCCGUUAUGGUCACUGUCUGUGUCAGCGUCAAGAUGUUUUUCAUCUACAGCUUGACGUGAGGGGGACGUCAAGACUGGACUACCCCGACCUGCGGGAUAUUGCCUCUGGUCCAGAGGUAUAAUCUCGCAGGAGGACCACGACGAGGAGUCGCCCACUGUCUGCCACGCCUCCUCUGAUUCUUGGCCAGAGUUUUCCUCGCUGUUUGGGUCCAAAUGCUCACCUGCAAUGUCGUCCAAUGUCUGACUGGAAGACGCUCUGUCCAAGUUGUCAUAAUGGGAUAGCGUGCUGUCUUCCUGCGCCUCACUGCUGUCCCCGCUGGCCUCUUGGGCGCCCUCAACUUUAGCGACUGCCAUCUGAGUGGCACUUGAACUCCACAGGUAGCCGCCCCCUGCUGCAGCUGGUGGUGGAAAAGAACCAAGUACAAAUAUGAGGAGAUGACUCGAUAGCGGGAAGAAGCAGUUUUCCGGAUGCGACGAGGUGUAGCGAUGGCCCAGGAAGCUCUCGCGGUUGGAGGUGACUUCCGACGACAAAGGGAUUGAGCUGCACGAGCAAGCGAAACAGCGUCGGGCUGUGUUGUAAAUCAACUGGAGGAGCCACCUCUGGAUUUCAAUUGGUUUGACAGUCACAAAUCCAGAAGGUACCUGCUACUCUCUCCCGACUCCCGGCACGGCUCGGCAAUAAGUGGCAGCGACAUCUGGCGAAGGCAGGGGGCUUGGUGCAGAUGCGCUCGUCUGAGAGGACCGGGCGACGCGUGAAAUCCUCUGGCUGUUUGCGCGGGAGCUGCUAGGGAGACUCUGGAAAACAGGGACUGGUGCUCCCUGAUCAACUCCGACAUCAGCACCUGGACGAGUGCUGCACCUGGAACACAAGCCUUCAAAGCUCCUUCUGACAUUCUAACCUAAGCAAGCGCAUGAGCCUUUUGACUUGGUGUCCACCUCCCACGAUGCUUUGCGGGUCCUCCGCCUUAGCUCGGAGAAUGUUGGGCCCAAAGACCGUGGCCAAGUUCUGGCAGCUCAUCUUGUUCCCUUUUGAGUGACUCUGCACCUCGUUGAGGAACCUAUCAAGCAAUGACUCAUCAUGGCACCUUGCAGACAUUUUGGAUCUUUUUGCAGUAGCUCUUACUGGCAUAUAAAGUGAAGAAGGUUGAAGUUGGCCACCGGCAGCUCCUGAAGAAGACUCCUCAACUCCUCCAAGCCCUGAGGAUUAUGGUGUUUUACUUUCCGCAUACUAGACCAUUUUUUGCUAUUUCCUUAUCUUGUUUUGGAGUAGCGCAUUCAUCACCUGCGCGCGGUCACUCGAAAGCUUUUGCCCACUGAGGAGAAAGUCCCGGUAGUGACCGAAAGGAACCAAAGGCUCAGGUAGCUGCCGCAAGUAGAGCUUCAGCAGUGAUGCCACCGUGUGGACAUCUGUGUUACUGCAAAGGCAUCAAGUUCCCUCACUGAAGCAAGCAAGCAAUCAAUCAAUCGGCCGGCUGGAAGUUUGGAGGCUUACCUGUCGAAGGAGGGCCUUUCCCCGGCGUCAAAGGCCUCCUGCAGCUCCCUCACCGAGCUGGCCCGUCCCGGUUGGCGAAACAAGCCCACCUCCUGGAGGCCCCGCUCUCGUAUAAAGGCCACGCACUGCUCCACCACCAGGGGAACCGAGCAAACGCCGUAACGCCGCUCGUACAGCACCGUCUCCUCCAGACGCUGACCAAAGACACCUAAGCGGGACUCAAGUUGGAGUUGAUAAACAAGCAUCCCAAGAUGCCUACUCACUCACUCACUCCGUCUGUUUACCUGUGAAGGGGAUCCAGACUCCCCUAUUGAGGCUUUUCAGCCACUCGUCCCCCUGGCCGGCGCUGUUGGACAGGAAGAAAUAGGAACCCGGGCUGGCCAAAACGUCUCUGUUUCCUGCGCGCGCCCACACACACAAACACACACAGCCAUCCAAAGAUGCUUUUUACGGUUUGGACGCUAAAGGGACGAGUCCCAUCUCAGGCGGUGCGGCCAGUCAACAUGACGUGAGUGAGAUCUUUUUGUCCAACGGCAGAGCGGAGGCUACUUAAUGAGCAAAUUGGAUCACGUCCAUGCGAGAUAAGAUCACAGGAGGUCAUAUCAAUUAUUGUCCAGAUGGUGUUCAUUUACUAGGAGUCGCUACUUGAGAUACUUAAUCAAAUCUAUACACAUAUAUAUAUCUGUCCAGGUGGCAGUACUGAUCUGCCAUCAGGCAGCAGAGUAAAUCAAAGAAAAUGCAUCAAACUAGUUGUACAGUUCAAUAUUAUUUAUGUAGCAUAUGAUGGACAAAAGGUUCAGGUAGAACUUUAUAUUGAACACGGAACCAAAAGGAUGUAUAUAUGCUUUGUCUAUAUAUUCUCACACACACACUCGCAUGGCAGUUGUCUUGUAGCUUUUGACAUGCCUCACUCAUUCCCCUCUUCAAAGUUAAAUUCAAAAUGCUCAAA
RNA transcript from Syngnathus typhle (broad-nosed pipefish), 4951 nucleotides. It is a transcript of the gene named putative monooxygenase p33MONOX, with no coding region annotated. NCBI's taxonomy places the organism in Eukaryota, Metazoa, Chordata, Actinopteri, Syngnathiformes, Syngnathidae. The transcript has 12 exons. The record is from RefSeq and is a predicted model, not a curated record.